CGAAGCUCUUUGGUGUGUACUGUUGGAAGUUUUGUUUGUUUACAACCGAAGAAAAACAUUCUCACAAACAUGCCGACUUAUGAAAUGCCAUUAUUAAUUAAAACACUUAGUCGGCCAGAAACAUUUGUUGUGCUGAAACGUGCAAGUCAAACUAUAUUUGAUAAAGGUGGUGUCAUACGAAAGAUUGAAAAUCUUGGGACACGCCAGUUACCUUUCAAAAUUAGAAAGCAUGGUCUUGUUGAGAAAAAAGCCAGUUACUUUUUGAUUGAAUUUGACACUUCACCAAAAACAAUAGACUACUUGAUUGAUGAAUUUCACAGAGAUGUAGAUGUCCUGCGUUCCAGGAUUUACAGGUCACAUGAAAAAGAAGAGUUUGAGUGCACAUUUGAAGAGGAGUGCCUGCCUGCAGCAUACAGGAAAGAUGUUCAGAAGUUGUUAGAAAUAGCAAAAAAAGAUGCAAAACCAAAGUUCAACCCAAAUACAUCUCUGGAUUACUAUCCAUUCAACAAGUAGUCAUGACAGUUGGUGACUGGCUGCCCUUCCUGAUCCCACAACUCUCCUGGGUAUGGAAUGGGUGCACCUCCAUCUGUCUGCUUCUAGAGGGAGAAACAUGAGAAUUUAGCAGCAGUUCUGUGAUAUAUUUCCACUGUUUUGUCAUUGGACAUCAACUUUUAAGAAAAAGAAAAAAAAUGUAAUUCCCAAAAAUAUUAGUGGUUUGGACAAUGCUCACAUUGUAAAGUGUUAGCUGUAGUGGAUUAACCACAUUUAGAAGUCAUCAACUGAUAAUUUUUGUAAAAAAAACUGAUGUGCUUUCAGGCAAUGAAAUUACAUAUUGUCCAGUAUGUUAUUUUAUUUUCAUUUGUUAUUUAGGUAUAAUGGUAAUUAGAACUUGAGUUUGUUUGGCAGAGCCACCAUGACUUGAAAGUCAUGUAAUUUAUGUAACAUGCAGAAAUAGUGAGAAAUUUAAAAUUAAGUGUACGCUCAAAAUGUUCCAAAGAAAAACUGUCAUACUUAGAGCAGGAAAUACAAGAAAAGCUCUCAUUAAAACUUGUUUAUUAAU
Molecule: RNA transcript, 1060 nt
Organism: Schistocerca gregaria
Lineage: Eukaryota; Metazoa; Arthropoda; Insecta; Orthoptera; Acrididae
Gene: mRpS6
Gene name: probable 28S ribosomal protein S6, mitochondrial
Exons: 6
Source: RefSeq, a predicted model, not a curated record